GGAUGUGAGGGCAAUCUGGUUGCAGCAUCUGUCACCCCACUAAUUGCCAGAGUUGAUUCAGCUGAUCCAGCUUCCUAGACUGGUGUGACCUUCCUCCCUCACUGCUCUGUGUGCAUCCCUCCCAAAGCUGUGUGCUUGGUUGAAGAGGACAACUUUCCCUCACAGAGGAGGAACAUUCUUUGGUCAAGUAUAUGAGUAGCUGUGCUUCCCUCACAGAAUCUUCAAACAAGCUCUUAAGAUUUGGAGAGCAGUAGAGAGGCAGCAGCCAUUUUGUUUUUACACACAAGUCAAAAAGGCACUU
RNAcentral lists this small nuclear RNA (301 nucleotides) under Callithrix jacchus (white-tufted-ear marmoset). RNAcentral's name for it is "7SK RNA". It matches the Rfam family "7SK RNA". From Rfam's summary of the family: 7SK was discovered as an abundant small nuclear RNA in the mid-70s but a possible function has only recently been suggested. Two independent studies have found that 7SK RNA binds the CDK9/cyclin T complex (known as elongation factor P-TEFb). The record is from Rfam by way of RNAcentral. Lineage: Eukaryota; Metazoa; Chordata; Mammalia; Primates; Cebidae.